GAAAGCCAAUCUCAGUUCGGAUUGUAGGCUGCAACUCGCCUACAUGAAGUUGGAAUCGCUAGUAAUCGCGAAUCAGAAUGUCGCGGUGAAUACGUUCCCGGGUCUUGUACACACCGCCCGUCACACCACGAGAGUUUACAACACCCGAAGUCAGUGGCCUAACCGCAAGGGGGGCGCGGCCGAAGGUGGGUUCGAUAAUUGGGGUGAAGUCGUAACAAGGUAAC
RNAcentral lists this ribosomal RNA (224 nucleotides) under uncultured bacterium. Its description in RNAcentral is "partial 16S ribosomal RNA". It matches the Rfam family "Bacterial small subunit ribosomal RNA", at positions 1277 to 1500 of the family's 1533-position model. The record is from RNAcentral.